UGGUCGGUACGAAGGAGGGGGCAGGACGCCGUACAAUCUUGCAGCAACAAAAUUAUUUUGGGAAUUUGGAUGACAGACUUUCCGAGAAGAAGUUGCCUUUGAGUAAGACGUGAUGUAUGCAUCGAUUCAAAGUCUUCCGGAGAAUCCAGCUUUUCGAAACGCAACGAUGAACACUUAGUUCAUCUUUGGGCGAUGGAGUCGGGAAGGACAAGUGACCGACUGCUUUUAAAGAAGACCGAAGUUUGCUUUAGAGCGUCUAAGGCAUCUUGACAAUCAUACUCAUUUCAAAUAACCUUUUCAAGGAACGGAAACUGCUAUAACAUCCCUAUAAACAAAGCUGUUCCUCUGUCCCAACUCAACAACGGUGUUGAAGUACUUGGCCUCUAUCGACUGUGUAAAGGGAAGAGCUGGCCAAGCCAGUAGAAUCAUGGAAUACCUGCUCCUCACAUUAGUUUUGAUCUCAGUUAUUGUUCUAAGUUUGUUGUAUAAAGAUGCCCUUCCAAAUUUGCUUCACCAGACUGUUUGGCAGUCUGGGCUACUGUAAACAUCCUUGACUGGAAGCUGGUGUUGGGUCUUGGGGCUUUCAGUCGGAUGUUUGCAGCAGCCGCCUGCUAGUACCAUCAGUCGACACCAGAAACUUAUACUUAUAUGUAAUAAACUUGAUUCUUGGGAUAACUGGGCAUGUGAAAUGUGCACCUACUGCAGUUGUCCUUCAUGUGACCAAAACACGGGGAAGGGUCAAGUAAAGUAUAAUUUCACAUGCAAUUUUUUUUUCCAGAUUAUUCACUUUGGAGGUGCAUGUCAGUUUUUCUGUAGGUCAAAGCAGGAACAAUUUUCUGGUUUAUGCGGCCCAAAGCUUGCACAGUGGCACCUCAAUAAAAUGGACCCCAAUACAAUGGAUAUUGAAUAAAAUAGACCAGAGAACAGAACAAUGUGUCCAAAAAUGUUUUCUAAUUGUCAUUUAAAAUCCUGUUGACAAACUCUGUUCAUUCCAGAACUGGCCGCUGUUGUUUACUGGUGUUGUGGUGCAGUCCAUCAGCUCUGUCGGACAACACUCCACCUUUAUUAGUUUGUUCUAUUGAGGUUCCAGUCUACUACUAAUCUCUCUUCCAACCAUAAAGUAAUUUUUAGCAUGUCGGACAAUUGCACAAAUUCAUUUUUCUUGUCAUGUCAGAAGUUUCACAUGUUGCAAAGCAGGAGAGGAAAAAAAAUAAUUUUUCUUUUGUAUUCCCUGAAUUCCCUUGGAGGAAUAUGUUGCCCAACAUGGCAAAGAAAGGACGGUGACAAUGUAAUACAUUCAUUACAGAAAUUACUCGAAAAGCAGGAAUUUGACCAGCUUCUUGACAAGUACUAUGAGUUGUAUUUUGACACAAUUUAAAAUGGAAACUUUCCUUUCUUGUGAAUAUACACCCACAAUACGUGGGAGAUCGGGAUUGAGCCCUCCUGCAAAUGUGUGAAAAUCACAGAUUAAUUGUCAGACACACUGUCAGGUUCACCAAUCAGACAUUCAUUAAACAGGACAAAAAAGGAAGCAAAGGCACCAGUUCAAGUCUCGCGAGGAGAGAGGAGAAGAACUGUCUCGUACAAUUCACCACUGCACUCUCUGAUUAUCCUCUCCUCUGCACCUCUAUUUAUUUAGUUUUAAGACACCCCUUAUUUACAUGGAUGUUACAAAAAGGAGACGACAAGCAAAACAGUUGGAAACAAAGUGUACAUGUUUGUUCAUGUGCGUGUGCAUGUGUGGAAGAUUGCUGAAUGCAUGUGUGGUCAUCAUUUCUUUAACAGGCAGCAGUUCUAACAGUUGUGAUGAUUAGAUGUUUUUGUUCUUGCUAUCUCCUGCUAGGAGGCUGCCACGUUAUCUAAAGCAGAGCAAAGCAUUUCUUUAUUGGAAGCAGAUGUAUGAUAAUUAUGAUGACAAUUAUUCCUACACACACCUAAAAAGGUUUAAAAUUUCCUGUAGAUGGCACAAGAUGGUGAAAAAAGACAACUUUUGUCUUAAUGAAACACUCAACUCUCUUCAACAUAUUUCCUUGGCAUCAGGAAUCUCGAGGAUGGCAACAAAGCAACACUGUUACUGGCUUGAUGUGAGUUUUUAGGUCAUCUUGUGGAUCCCGUGUGGGAUUGCUGCUUUAUUUUAGAGCCAAACUCAAAACUCAAACUCAUAAAGCAAGCAAAAGUGAUCCCAAAACAAAAAUGGCAAACAAGCAGUUGCGCAGAAACGUGAUCGCAUGCCGCGACAAUUGUCUGUUCAGAAUAUAUGAAAGCAGCCUCGACAUCUUGCGCUGCAAGAACACAGCUGAAACAAAUAAACAAGCGGUGAAAGUUUGGAUUCUGAUUCGUCACACUGUGUGAUACAGCACAGGACCACAGACAUGGAAGGAAGGAUGGAAGGAAGUAGGAUUUCUUUAAACAGUUCUCAUCUUCCUUCAUAGAAGCAAGGAAACAGCUCAUUCCGACGACUGCGCAACUCAAAUCUCAACUAUUUACAUGUUGCAUGAAAACGGGACUGAAUCAGAUAGAACUUCCUGGGUGUUUGUUCCUGUUGUUUUAGAUGCAAAUUACAAGUUGACUUCUUACUUAGAAGCAAUGGCCUCUGAGUUGUAGAAAGUGUAAACAUCCUACACUCUCGGCGUCCCCCCUCCCCCGGCAGCUGGGAGUGAGCCUGUUUGCGCUUUCUGCCUCAGUAAUUCAGCUAAAUGUUGGGACAGUGACCGCUCAUGUCAAACACAUGUUGUAUGUUACGUACAUGUGACGUCAUACUUAGUUUAUUCACUGAACCAGAUAAUGGAUGGAUAACUAAGGAUAGCUUGACAAAUGUGCUUUGUUUUAAAUAAAUCUGAGUAUUAAUACAAUAAAGAAUAUGCGACUAAUAUCACACAAGAUUGUUUAUUACUCCCCCCUCUAUUAAUUAAAUCAGUUUUACAUGCAUUAAGUCUCACUUUAAUUUUCGCUUUAUAAACAGUUAUCUCAUGUGUCUGUUUUUUUAUUCAAAAUAAAAUGAUCUGCAAUAUUUUUGGAGCAUGGAUUGUUUUUGUCUUUCAUUUAACAAAAUGGUAUUGUGCUAAUUGUCGUUUUGUUUUCCACUGUUUCGUCUGGUUACAUAUUGUAGUAUACUGUACUGGUCUUGAAUCUUGACAUGUUAAUUUUCAGUAAAUGUGAUGAUUUUAGCAUGUCUGCGUCAAAGUUGAGAGUUUCUGGUUUCUAGUUUUAGGUCUAGUCUUCCUGUGCAGAAUUUGCAUGUUCUCUCCGUGUUUGUGUGGAUUUUGUGAAUCACUACCCUAAGUCAUUUUCAUGAGUAUAUAAAAUAAACUACAAAAGCCGA
Syngnathoides biaculeatus (alligator pipefish) is the source of this 3322-nucleotide long non-coding RNA. RefSeq lists it as uncharacterized. The record is from RefSeq and is a predicted model, not a curated record. The transcript has 4 exons. NCBI's taxonomy places the organism in Eukaryota, Metazoa, Chordata, Actinopteri, Syngnathiformes, Syngnathidae.